RNAcentral lists this ribosomal RNA (423 nucleotides) under uncultured bacterium. RNAcentral's name for it is "bacterial SSU rRNA". It matches the Rfam family "Bacterial small subunit ribosomal RNA", at positions 361 to 776 of the family's 1533-position model. The record is from RNAcentral.
AUAUUGGACAAUGGGGGAAACCCUGAUCCAGCGACGCCGCGUGUGUGAAGAAGGCCUGCGGGUUGUAAAGCACUUUUAGUGGGGAUGAAAAGUCUCGGACUAACAAUCCGGGAUCUUGACCUAACCCACAGACAAAGCACCGGCUAACUCUGUGCCAGCAGCCGCGGUAAUACAGAGGGUGCAAGCGUUGCUCGGAUUUACUGGGCGUAAAGCGUACGCAGACGGUGAGAAAGGUCGGAUGUGAAAGCCCCGGGCUCAACCCGGGAACUGCAUCCGAAACCAUCUCGCUAGAGUAUGGGAGAGGGAAGCGGAAUUCCUGGUGUAGAGGUGAAAUUCGUAGAUAUCAGGAGGAACAUCUGCGGCGAAGGCGGCUUCCUGGCCCAUUACUGACGUUCAGGUACGAAAGCGUGGGUAGCAAACAGG